GACGAACGCUGGCGGCGUGCUUAACACAUGCAAGUCGAACGCUGAACCCGCUUCGGUGGGGGAUGAGUGGCGAACGGGUGAGUAACACGUGGGCAACCUGCCCCCGGCUCUGGGAUAACUCCAAGAAAUUGGGGCUAAUACCGGAUGUGACCGCUGGCCGCAUGGUCUGGUGGUGGAAAGGGUUUCCGGCUGGGGAUGGGCCCGCGGCCUAUCAGCUUGUUGGUGGGGUAGUGGCCUACCAAGGCGACGACGGGUAGCCGGCCUGAGAGGGUGACCGGCCAAAAGGGGACUGAGACACGGCCAAGACUCCUAGGGAGGCAGCAGUGGGGAAUAUUGCGCAAUGGGCGGAAGCCUGACGCAGCGACGCCGCGUGGGGGAUGAAGGCCUUCGGGUUGUAAACCUCUUUCAGCAGGGACGAAGCGCAAGUGACGGUACCUGCAGAAGAAGCACCGGCCAACUACGUG
Molecule: ribosomal RNA, 464 nt
Filed under: uncultured bacterium
Lineage: Bacteria
Description: partial 16S ribosomal RNA
Rfam family: Bacterial small subunit ribosomal RNA
Source: RNAcentral